RNAcentral lists this ribosomal RNA (292 nucleotides) under uncultured bacterium. RNAcentral describes it as "partial 16S ribosomal RNA". It matches the Rfam family "Bacterial small subunit ribosomal RNA", at positions 505 to 796 of the family's 1533-position model. The record is from RNAcentral.
GUGUCAGCAGCCGCGGUAAGACAGAAGAUGCAAGCGUUACUCGGAAUUACUGGGCGUAAAGGGUCCGCAGGUGACUGACCACGUCUGGGGUAAAAGCACGUCGCUCAACGGCGUGUAUGUCCCGGAAACGAGUCGGAUUGAGCUACUCAGAGGCAUCUGGAAUGUUGUGUGUAGGGGUAAAAUCCGUUGAUCCACAAUGGAACGCCAAAAGCGAAAGCAGGAUGCUGGGGGUAUGCUGACACUCAUGGACGAAAGCGUGGGGAGCAAACGGGAUUAGAUACCCCCGUAGUCC